UUCAACAACGGAUCUCUUGGUUCUGGCAUCGAUGAAGAACGCAGCGAAAUGCGAUAAGUAAUGUGAAUUGCAGAAUUCAGUGAAUCAUCGAAUCUUUGAACGCACAUUGCGCCCUUUGGUAUUCCGAAGGGCAUGCCUGUUCGAGCG
This 147-nucleotide ribosomal RNA is filed under the name Septoria bupleuri. RNAcentral describes it as "5.8S ribosomal RNA". It matches the Rfam family "5.8S ribosomal RNA". From Rfam's summary of the family: 5.8S ribosomal RNA (5.8S rRNA) is a component of the large subunit of the eukaryotic ribosome. It is transcribed by RNA polymerase I as part of the 45S precursor that also contains 18S and 28S rRNA. The record is from RNAcentral. Lineage: Eukaryota; Fungi; Ascomycota; Dothideomycetes; Mycosphaerellales; Mycosphaerellaceae.